This 288-nucleotide ribosomal RNA is filed under the name Enterococcus faecium. Its description in RNAcentral is "partial 16S ribosomal RNA". It matches the Rfam family "Bacterial small subunit ribosomal RNA", at positions 1 to 267 of the family's 1533-position model. The record is from RNAcentral. Lineage: Bacteria; Bacillati; Bacillota; Bacilli; Lactobacillales; Enterococcaceae.
UUUUAUGAGAGUUUGAUCCUGGCUCAGGACGAACGCUGGCGGCGUGCCUAAUACAUGCAAGUCGAACGCUUCUUUUUCCACCGGAGCUUGCUCCACCGGAAAAAGAGGAGUGGCGAACGGGUGAGUAACACGUGGGUAACCUGCCCAUCAGAAGGGGAUAACACUUGGAAACAGGUGCUAAUACCGUAUAACAAUCGAAACCGCAUGGUUUUGAUGUGAAAGGCGCUUUCGGGUGUCGCUGAUGGAUGGACCCGCGGUGCAUUAGCUAGUUGGUGGGGUAACGGCUCA